AGAGUUUGAUCCUGGCUCAGAACGAACGCUGGCGGCAUGCCUAACACAUGCAAGUCGAACGAAGGCUUCGGCCUUAGUGGCGCACGGGUGAGUAACGCGUGGGAAUCUGCCUAUCAGUGGGGAAUAACGACGGGAAACUGUCGCUAAUACCGCAUACGCCCUUCGGGGGAAAGAUUUAUCGCUGAUAGAUGAGCCCGCGUACGAUUAGCUAGUUGGUGAGGUAAUGGCUCACCAAGGCUACGAUCGUUAGCUGGUCUGAGAGGAUGAUCAGCCACACUGGGACUGAGACACGGCCCAGACUCCUACGGGAGGCAGCAGUGGGGAAUAUUGGACAAUGGGCGAAAGCCUGAUCCAGCAAUGCCGCGUGAGUGAUGAAGGCCUUAGGGUUGUAAAGCUCUUUCGGGUGGGACGAUGAUGACGGUACCACCAGAAGAAGCCCCGGCUAACUUCGUGCCAGCAGCCGCGGUAAUACGAAGGGGGCUAGCGUUGUUCGGAAUUACUGGGCGUAAAGCGCACGCAGGCGGCUCGAUAAAUUAGAAGUGAAAGCCCCGGGCUUAACCUGGGAAUUGCUUUUAAGACUGUCGAGCUAGAAUCCAGAAGAGGGUAGUGGAAUUCCGAGUGUAGAGGUGAAAUUCGUAGAUAUUCGGAAGAACACCAGUGGCGAAGGCGACUACCUGGUCUGGCAUUGACGCUCAUGUGCGAAAGCGUGGGGAGCAAACAGGAUUAGAUACCCUAGUAGUCC
RNAcentral lists this ribosomal RNA (742 nucleotides) under uncultured bacterium. RNAcentral's name for it is "bacterial SSU rRNA". It matches the Rfam family "Bacterial small subunit ribosomal RNA", at positions 8 to 796 of the family's 1533-position model. The record is from RNAcentral.